AAGACCGCUACGCAACCAUAAAGUUUCUAGAAAUCAAUCAAUUACCCACGAAUAACAUUAUGGUAGUAUUAUAUCUGUUCGGUAAAUCAUUACACACAUAUUAAUUAGUUGUCACCUUACUAACAUUGCACAACUCGUUUGCAGUAUAUGUGAAUUCAUAAUAGUGUAUUGAGUUAUUGGGAAUGAGUCUGAUUUAGACAUAUUUUAGCUGGAGUUUUGUUAGUU
This is a non-coding RNA of Schizosaccharomyces pombe (fission yeast), 225 nucleotides long. The record is from the annotation of a GenBank genome assembly. Lineage: Eukaryota; Fungi; Ascomycota; Schizosaccharomycetes; Schizosaccharomycetales; Schizosaccharomycetaceae.